This is a long non-coding RNA of Peromyscus eremicus (cactus mouse), 587 nucleotides long. RefSeq lists it as uncharacterized. The transcript has 4 exons. NCBI's taxonomy places the organism in Eukaryota, Metazoa, Chordata, Mammalia, Rodentia, Cricetidae. The record is from RefSeq and is a predicted model, not a curated record.
AGAGCCCUGCAGGCGCCCGGCUCCCUUUUCCUCAAAGGGAGGGAAAGGAGGAAGGGGGCGGGGGAGGGGAGGGAGAGAACUGAGAGGCUGGGCCGUGCGGUUCGCGGGCAAGGAAAAACGUUGAUGCUGAGGGGUUGUCCGCCGCGGCUCUCAACUGACCACGGGGUGCCGUCCUGGUGACGGGCCCCGGCUGCAGGUGUGAGGAGGUAGCGGGGCCUCCAACUGCCAGACAGUGGGCGACUCGACAGGUUGAGGAGGCCGCGAGGGGCUCAGAAGGGUUACCUGAACUUGGUGUCUUACUGACUGGGGCAGAGCCAGUGGAUUAGACGGUGACCUGACUUCUGGCUGAGGCAGGGGAGAAACCCCACGUCUUCGUAUGUGCAGGUGAACUUCUGAAUCAGCCAGAGGAUAUGAUAAUAAAGAUUGCAAGACCACACACCAGCAUUUUCAACUGAGAAACUGAAUUUUUUGAUCCUGCCUAAAACUUGGUAAACACAGAGUCCCUGACUGCAUCAUCUGAGAAUUUCUGAAGAAUACCUUGCCAACCAGAUGGGAUGAAUAUCGGCCCUGGAGUUACUUUCCUUAAC